CCUACGGGAGGCAGCAGUGAGGAAUAUUGGUCAAUGGACGCGAGUCUGAACCAGCCAAGUCGCGUGAGGGAUGACUGCCCUAUGGGUUGUAAACUUCUUUUGUAAGGGAGUAAACGAAGGCACGCGUGCCUUUUUGCGUGUACCUUACGAAUAAGGAUCGGCUAACUCCGUGCCAGCAGCCGCGGUAAUACGGAGGAUCCGAGCGUUAUCCGGAUUUAUUGGGUUUAAAGGGAGCGUAGGCGGUGUGUUAAGUCAGGUGUGAAAUUUUGCGGCUCAACCGUGUAAUUGCCAUUGAUACUGGUAGGCUUGAGUGCAGGAGAGGUAGGCGGAAUUCGUGGUGUAGCGGUGAAAUGCUUAGAUAUCACGAAGAACACCGAUUGCGAAGGCAGCUUACUAAACUGGUACUGACGUUGAGGCGCGAAAGUGUGGGUAUCAAACAGGAUUAGAUACCCCUGUAGUC
Molecule: ribosomal RNA, 460 nt
Filed under: uncultured bacterium
Lineage: Bacteria
Description: partial 16S ribosomal RNA
Rfam family: Bacterial small subunit ribosomal RNA
Source: RNAcentral